UGGGGAAUAUUGCACAAUGGGCGCAAGCCUGAUGCAGCCAUGCCGCGUGUGUGAAGAAGGCCUUCGGGUUGUAAAGCACUUUCAGCGGGGAGGAAGGCGAUAAGGUUAAUAACCUUGUCGAUUGACGUUACCCGCAGAAGAAGCACCGGCUAACUCCGUGCCAGCAGCCGCGGUAAUACGGAGGGUGCAAGCGUUAAUCGGAAUUACUGGGCGUAAAGCGCACGCAGGCGGUUGAUUGAGUCAGAUGUGAAAUCCCCGGGCUUAACCCGGGAAUUGCAUCUGAUACUGGUCAGCUAGAGUCUUGUAGAGGGGGGUAGAAUUCCAUGUGUAGCGGUGAAAUGCGUAGAGAUGUGGAUGAAUACCGGUGGCGAAGGCGGCCCCCUGGACAAAGACUGACGCUCAGGUGCGAAAGCGUGGGGAGCAAACAGG
This 429-nucleotide ribosomal RNA is filed under the name Chloroflexota bacterium. Its description in RNAcentral is "Chloroflexi bacterium partial 16S ribosomal RNA". It matches the Rfam family "Bacterial small subunit ribosomal RNA", at positions 355 to 776 of the family's 1533-position model. The record is from RNAcentral. Lineage: Bacteria; Bacillati; Chloroflexota.